UGAGGAACAUGACCUUCGGCGGGGGAUAGCCGGCCCAACGGCCGGGUAAUACCGCGUACGACCUUUCGGGGACAUCCCUGAAUGGUGAAAGCAAGCAAUGCGCCGAUGGAGUGCCUCGCGGCCUAUCAGCUAGUUGGUGGGGUGAUGGCCUACCAAGGCGAUGACGGGUAGCCGGCCUGAGAGGGCGACCGGCCACACUGGGACUGAGACACGGCCCAGACUCCGUACGGGAGGCGG
RNAcentral lists this ribosomal RNA (237 nucleotides) under uncultured bacterium. RNAcentral's name for it is "partial 16S ribosomal RNA". It matches the Rfam family "Bacterial small subunit ribosomal RNA", at positions 118 to 349 of the family's 1533-position model. The record is from RNAcentral.